UAUUUGCUCUGUCCUUUGUCAUAUCAAGCUCUAAGUUACAAGCUACGAAAUGGACUUGAGAUCCCUAAGUGUCUCCCCACGCAGGUUAAAAUCCUCUCAACAACGGCAGGUUGCUUAUCAUGUGCUUGAUAGUUUGAGAAUUUAGAACCAACCACGUUGGAGCCAACAAGACAAUACCGCAGUGCAACCCCUGCUGAAAUCACUAUGUUUUGAGAGUAUAGAGACUGACCAAGCCAUCAGUGCAGCCAACAAGAGAAUACCGCAGUACAAACUUGGCAAUAGAACGUAAUACCACCAUCUUGUUUUCUUUGGGCACUCUUUUCAUGGGAUCCUCCUUCAUUAUAUCCCAUAAUCCACCUGCUCCAUCAGCCAUUUGUGUUCAGUGGCGAUAAUGGUAUAGUGGUGCGCAUAGCUACCUUCUAAGCAGUUGACCCGCGUUCGAUUCCCGGCCAUCGCAGGUAUCCUUUGUCCCCACCUUUUUAAUUGAAUGCCACAGAAGCACAUAGGGUUGACUUACCGCCGCCCUGACUUUGAUGACAAGUCCUAAUAUAUCCGAACGAGGUCCUAACACAGAUCCCAACAUUGCUAACACAAGGGGUAAAACAGCCAAUCAGUUCCUAAGAAACGAUGUUGCGACGCAUCCAAUCAACAAUUGCUGCCUUGACGCACGGUUGUCUGAUUGGUGAGUGACAUUAGCCAUCAUACAGUGUAAGUUUGUCAUGCGAAUCUUGUCACUUAUUGGAUGGCCACCGUUUAGUCACAGGUUACAACCUUUUCAGAGGGACAGAGAGACUUUUCUCGAUGCUCAGGUAUCAUUCUACUUUACGUACGUGUUAUGAUAAUAGUAGACUUCAGGGUGAAUGUUUAAGUCUAUGAGGCAGUAGGUUUUCCUAGCUCCUUAAGAUUAACUCGGGAAACGAUGUUGAAAGGGUAACGACUGAGAUAACGUUAACGUUAGCCCCAUACGUUAAGAUGACCACUGUUGUGAACUUUUCUAAUUAAACUGCAAUACAUUUAGUCUCUUUCUUUCUGUUACAUUAACACAUUUGGAUUGUACUAUGACAUUGAUUUGUGUAAGGUUAAUUAUUUUCAGUAUAAAUUAGAUGUAAACCGUUUUUAGGUAGGCUAACGUAAGCUAGCCGUUAGUUUGUUUUUGUAUGUUUGGUCUGUUAAUGUCGUCGUUGUUUAAGAGAUUUUUCUACGAUAAGUGGUGGUCAUCUUAAGCUAUGUUUUGUGUCGUUGACCUGACGUGAAAACCGUUAACGCCUGUGGUGAUUUUGUGUGCUUUUAUAAUAAUCGAGUGACGUCAGCACGAUGACCCUAGUUGAAGAGCUAGCCUAUGCACUGUGUGACCUAUGGAUUAACUUUCUGACUAAAAUAAAUUGUGAAAUGAAUUACUGUUACCAAUCAACAUAUUUGUCAUUUGAUAGGGUAGUAUUUCCAUCUGUUACCGUUCAUUUUUGUUGCUUUCCAUAUCUUGUCCCUAAUAUCUGCAGAAAUGACAAAGACUGGGAAACCAGAUGCCUACUGGGCAGGUGUGAUGUCCCUGUAUGCCCAGGGAAAGUACAAAUUUACAACUGGCAAGAGUCCAGGGGCCAGGAGAUGGAGGGCGGUAAUGCAGCGGAUUGCUGAUUGUCCUCUGACCCCCCUGAAAGGUCAAACUGCUGUCCCCAAACAAUACAUAUUUGGGAAAAGGAUCCCCUGCAAGUGUGGAUACCACCAGACCUCCCAGAUGUUGCUGCUCCUACCACUCCCAUAGCCCAAGAGACGACACUGGCGACAGAGCAACACCCACCUGAUGUUCCUGCCCCUGUUCCUGCUCCUCCCACAGCCCAUGAGACAUCACCGGCACCACCAUGACACCCACUCACUCUGCAGCCUCCUGAGGUAAACUGGCCCCACCAAAUCCAUUUCAAUGAAUUUGGGCAAGUGCUGAAUUCUGUGCUGACCACUGGUGAGGGGGCUGGCCUUGAUGACCUUUGUCAAGGCAUUGUCCAAAGGUACAGAGAUGCUGGUGAGCCACAGCCAGAUGCCAUAUAUGUGGACAGAGACUGCAGCAGUGAGACAGGGGUUGGUCCAGUUCUCACUUGGUUUCGGCCAUGGACGUCAACGGUGAGACUGGAUAUAUUCCAUUUUAUGAGGCGGUUCACCAAGGGCCUUUCGACAGAGCACCAUCCACUGUAUGGCACGUUCUGCUCAAAGUUAUCCACUUGUAUCUUUGAGUGGGACAAAGAGGACAUUCACCUGUCUGCUAGCCACUCCCUCCUCAUCAGGCCAACUCCAUAUCGGCUCUUGUUUCGAACCACCUGCUCUCCUGACUACGUCUCCGGCCUGUUGCCUAACGGAACCUUCGCUCUACCCUGAGCCGCUUACUGAGUACGGCGAUUCCUCUCCUGAUCUAUUGCCACGUGUACUACCAUUCGACUCGGCUGAGUCGACUCCCCGACUCACCUUGGAGGCUCCAGAGACUCAUCGCCUGCAGCGUGCUCUGAACUCUAUCCUGUGCUGCUUAACUGCUUUGAUUCCUGUGUGUGACGUAAA
Molecule: RNA transcript, 2541 nt
Organism: Scophthalmus maximus (turbot)
Lineage: Eukaryota; Metazoa; Chordata; Actinopteri; Pleuronectiformes; Scophthalmidae
Exons: 4
Source: RefSeq, a predicted model, not a curated record